Cebus imitator (Panamanian white-faced capuchin) is the source of this 89-nucleotide long non-coding RNA. RefSeq lists it as uncharacterized. Lineage: Eukaryota; Metazoa; Chordata; Mammalia; Primates; Cebidae. The transcript is spliced from 2 exons. The record is from RefSeq and is a predicted model, not a curated record.
CUUUGGGAGGCUGAGGUGGGUGGAUCACCUGAGAUCAAGAGUACAAGAUCACCCUGGCCAACAUGGUGAAACCCCAUCUCUACUAAAAA